RNAcentral lists this transfer RNA (56 nucleotides) under Dipodomys ordii (Ord's kangaroo rat). It matches the Rfam family "tRNA", at positions 1 to 55 of the family's 71-position model. Rfam says of the family: Transfer RNA (tRNA) molecules are approximately 80 nucleotides in length. Their secondary structure includes four short double-helical elements and three loops (D, anti-codon, and T loops). Further hydrogen bonds mediate the characteristic L-shaped molecular structure. tRNAs have two regions of fundamental functional importance: the anti-codon, which is responsible for specific mRNA codon recognition, and the 3' end, to which the tRNAs corresponding amino acid is attached (by aminoacyl-tRNA synthetases). tRNAs cope with the degeneracy of the genetic code in two manners: having more than one tRNA (with a specific anti-codon) for a particular amino acid; and 'wobble' base-pairing, i.e. permitting non-standard base-pairing at the 3rd anti-codon position. Lineage: Eukaryota; Metazoa; Chordata; Mammalia; Rodentia; Heteromyidae. The record is from Rfam by way of RNAcentral.
GGGAAGGUGGCUCAGUGGUAGAGCGCUUGCCUUGCAUGCCUGAGGCCCUGGGUUCG